Non-coding RNA from Zonotrichia albicollis (white-throated sparrow), 1646 nucleotides. NCBI's taxonomy places the organism in Eukaryota, Metazoa, Chordata, Aves, Passeriformes, Passerellidae. The record is from RefSeq and is a predicted model, not a curated record.
UUUCUCUUUCCAGGUAUACUACCAAAUAUGUGUCAUCUUCUUUCUGACAGACACAACAUAGCACAAAAAUUCUUCAACAGAAAUCUGAAUUUUCCACUGCUGGUGUUGCUAUUUUUUAAAUUGGUUGACUGUCAGAACUGCUUUGAAAACAGAAUCUUGAAUUCCGAUUAAGAAUAAGGUCCUGCAUUUAUGGAAAAACUGAAAGACAAGAUGGUACUGAGUCUUCUGCUAAAUCCAGAAAAUAAGAACACAUGACACUGGGAGCAGCCUGAUGGUUGUGAAUUCAAGUGAAGAUUGGGAGUUGAUGCUUGUGGCUCCUUUUGUGUGAGUACAGAAGAAACUGGCUGGAAGCAUGGCUGAGACAGGUGACCCAAAGAGACCAAAGGGUUAUUCCAUAUCAGAGAACAUCACGCCCAUUAUAUAAACUGGAAGAGUUACUCAGAAGGGAAGUCCAACCUGGGUUCAGGAAGGAAGGUCUGGAAUCUGUCAGCUGGUGGUGAGCAAUUGCAUUGUGCAUCACUUGGUUGGUUGGUUGUGGUUUUUUUCUUCUUUUUAUUAUAAUUCUUCUUAUUAUUUACCAUUAUCAUUGCUUUUUACUGUAUUUUCAAUUAUUUAAGUGUUCUUACCUCAACGUAGAAGUUUUACUUCAGUUCUCCUCCCCAUCAAGGCAGGGGGGUUGAGGUUUGAGAAUGUGGCUGUGUGGUUUUUUAUCUCCAGCUGGGCUUAAAACAACAGUCCUUUUUGGCACCCAUUGUGGGGCUCAAAGGGUUGAGAUAAGGACAGAUCUGACCAGGGGAUGUUAAAAGAAAAUUAAUAGGAACAUUCAUUGCAUUUGUUUAACAGUUGCUAGUUACAAUGUGGACGUACUUGCUCUCCUACUUGUGGCUUUUUGUGUGUAUUAUACCAGUAAUACACUCCUUGCAGUGCAUGUUCUCAGUGGUGCAUUUCAUAGGAUUAGCUAAUGGUGUGACAGUGUUGCUGGCUGGGACACCAGUCUGGUGUCUGCAUCCAGUAUUGCAGGCACUCCGUGCUUUGGGAGCCAUCUCCUGGGAAUGAUUAACAGUCACAUCUUUGUUGUUUUCUCCGCAGAGGAACAAUCUGUUGGGAAGACACCUUCUUAAUUUUUUUCUCCCCUCUUAUUUUCCUCUCUUGUCCUGCAGGCUGAUUACAGUAGUUCAGAAUUUUAAAGAUUUUGGAUAUCCUUUGACUACCCUUGAAAGCAAAUUGCUUUGUUUUGGUAUUUUUUUGUUAGGAGCAUGCUGUUCUCUAUGGUUCAGUUCUUCUGUAAGGUCAUAAAAAUAACUAAGAUUAUUAUCUAGAGGUCUGCUGAAAAGCUGGAUAUUUCAGAGUUGUGGGGUGUGUGGUAUUGUAUGGAGAAAUACCCAGGGCAGUUGGUACCUCCAACAUGUUUGCACCUGACCUCUGAAUAAGUCCAGAAGCCAGAAAAACGAGUAAAUUUUUUUUUUAAAGUGUCCUGGCACCUGGCACUCCAAAGAGAGCCCAAAUCACUGCCAUGUGUUGGGGCCUGGCCCAGGUUUAUUGAACCAUAGUCAACACUGCUCAGUACCUGCAGGAGAAAAAGAAGGUCUCUAAAUCUGACAAUGAGACAACAACAGGCCCUGCAGCUGUUCCACCACUAUGACAGA